RNAcentral lists this transfer RNA (82 nucleotides) under Polyangiaceae bacterium. RNAcentral's name for it is "tRNA-Leu". It matches the Rfam family "tRNA". From Rfam's summary of the family: Transfer RNA (tRNA) molecules are approximately 80 nucleotides in length. The record is from RNAcentral. Lineage: Bacteria; Pseudomonadati; Myxococcota; Polyangiales; Polyangiaceae.
GCACGAGUGGCGGAAUUGGCAGACGCACCGGAUUUAGGUUCCGGCACCGCAAGGUGUGUGGGUUCGAGUCCCUCCUCGUGCA